Molecule: ribosomal RNA, 338 nt
Filed under: uncultured bacterium
Lineage: Bacteria
Description: bacterial SSU rRNA
Rfam family: Bacterial small subunit ribosomal RNA
Source: RNAcentral
AAGUGGUAGCAAUACCAUGAGUAAAGUGGCGCACGGGUGAGUAACACGUGACUAACCUACCCUUGAGUGGGGGAUAACUGAGGGAAACCUUAGCUAAUACCGCAUAAUACCUACGGGUCAAAGGAGCAAUUCGCUUAAGGAGGGGGUCGCGGCCGAUUAGUUAGUUGGCGGGGUAAUGGCCCACCAAGACUAUGAUCGGUAUCCGGCCUGAGAGGGCGCACGGACACACUGGAACUGAAACACGGUCCAGACUCCUACGGGAGGCAGCAGUGGGGAAUUUUGCGCAAUGGGGGAAACCCUGACGCAGCAACGCCGCGUGGAGGAUGAAGUACUUCGGU